GCCAGUGGCCAUAGUGGUGAGGUCAUCCCCGUUCCCAUUCCGAACACGGAAGUUAAGCUCAUUCGCGUCGAAGAUACUUGGCUGGAGACGGCCCGGGAAAAUAGUUCAAUGCCGGCA
RNAcentral lists this ribosomal RNA (117 nucleotides) under Ruminococcus sp. The record is from RNAcentral. Lineage: Bacteria; Bacillati; Bacillota; Clostridia; Eubacteriales; Oscillospiraceae.